RNAcentral lists this ribosomal RNA (254 nucleotides) under uncultured bacterium. Its description in RNAcentral is "partial 16S ribosomal RNA". It matches the Rfam family "Bacterial small subunit ribosomal RNA", at positions 524 to 776 of the family's 1533-position model. The record is from RNAcentral.
CACGUAGGGUGCGGGCGUUGUCCGGAAUUAUUGGGCGUAAAGAGCUCGUAGGCGGUGUGUCGCGUCGGCCGUGAAAACCUGCAGCUUAACUGUGGGCGUGCGGUCGAUACGGGCAUCACUGGAGUUCGGCAGGGGAGACUGGAAUUCCUGGUGUAGCGGUGAAAUGCGCAGAUAUCAGGAGGAACACCGGUGGCGAAGGCGGGUCUCUGGGCAAUAACUGACGCUGAGGAGCGAAAGCGUGGGGAGCGAACAGG